UACGGAGGGGGCUAGCGCUGUUCGGAAUUACUGGGCGUAAAGCGCGUGUAGGCGGGUCGUUAAGUCGGGGGUGAAAGCCCAGAGCUCAACUCUGGAACUGCCCUCGAUACUGGCGACCUUGAGUGAGGAAGAGGCGAGUGGAAUUCCGAGUGUAGAGGUGAAAUUCAUAGAUAUUCGGAGGAACACCAGUGGCGAAGGCGGCUCGCUGGUCCUUUACUGACGCUGAGACGCGAAAGCGUGGGGAGCAAACAGG
This 253-nucleotide ribosomal RNA is filed under the name uncultured bacterium. RNAcentral's name for it is "partial 16S ribosomal RNA". It matches the Rfam family "Bacterial small subunit ribosomal RNA", at positions 524 to 776 of the family's 1533-position model. The record is from RNAcentral.